CCUACGGGUGGCAGCAGUGAGGAAUAUUGGUCAAUGAGCGCGAGCCUGAACCAGCCAAGCAGCGUGAAGGAUGACUGCCCUACGGGUUGUAAACUUCUUUUAUAAAGGAAUAAAGUGAGGCACGUGUGCCUUUUUGUAUGUACUUUAUGAAUAAGGAUCGGCUAACUCCGUGCCAGCAGCCGCGGUAAUACGGAGGAUCCGAGCGUUAUCCGGAUGUAAUGGGUUUAAAGGGAGCGUAGAUGGGUUGGUAAGUCAGUAGUGAAAGGUUGGGGCUUAACCGUAACAUUGCAGUUGAUACUGGCAGUCUUGAGUACAGUUGAGGUAGGCGGAAUUCGUGGUGUAGCGGUGAAAUGCUUAGAUAUCACGAAGAACUCCGAUUGCGAAGGCAGCUUACU
Molecule: ribosomal RNA, 395 nt
Filed under: uncultured bacterium
Lineage: Bacteria
Description: partial 16S ribosomal RNA
Rfam family: Bacterial small subunit ribosomal RNA
Source: RNAcentral